CCUGGUGACUAUAGCGCAGGGGCCACACCUCUUCCCAUUCCGAACAGAGAAGUUAAGCCCUGCAGCGCCGAUGGUACUAUCGCUUCGAUGGAAGAGUAGGUCGUUGCCAGGA
RNAcentral lists this ribosomal RNA (112 nucleotides) under Longimonas halophila. Lineage: Bacteria; Pseudomonadati; Rhodothermota; Rhodothermia; Rhodothermales; Salisaetaceae. The record is from RNAcentral.